This 773-nucleotide ribosomal RNA is filed under the name uncultured Neocallimastigales. RNAcentral describes it as "partial large subunit ribosomal RNA". It matches the Rfam family "Eukaryotic large subunit ribosomal RNA", at positions 23 to 616 of the family's 3401-position model. Lineage: Eukaryota; Fungi; Neocallimastigomycota; Neocallimastigomycetes; Neocallimastigales. The record is from RNAcentral.
ACACGCAUGACACACUGCUAUCAAUAAGCGGAGGAAAAGAAACUAACAAGGAUUCCCUUAGUAACGGCGAGUGGAGCGGGAAGAGCUCAAAUUUGAAAUCUUCAAGGUUUUACCUUGACGAAUUGUAGUUUAAAGAAGUGUUUUCUGUUGGAGUUUUGGUAAAAGUUCUUUGGAAUAGGACAUCAUAGAGGGUGAGAAUCCCGUAUUUGACCAUUAUUUCCAGCUGUGUGAUACACUUUCAAAGAGUCGGAUUGUUUGGGAAUGCAGUCCAAAAUGGGUGGUAAAUUUCAUCUAAAGCUAAAUAUUGGCGAGAGACCGAUAGCGAACAAGUACCGUGAGGGAAAGAUGAAAAGAACUUUGAAAAGAGAGUUAAACAGUACGUGAAAUUGUCAAAAGGGAAGCGUUUGACACCAGUGUUGUUUUCUCGAAAAUCAAUUAAAAAUGAUGGGAUUUUGUGUUGUAUUGACUUUAUCAGCUUUCUGCACUUUUUUCUUAUCCUUUUUAAUGCACUUUUCGUUUAACAAGUCAACAUCAAUUUCUUUUGUUGUAAAAGAGUCAUUGGAAGGUGGCUUUUUCUUCGGAAAAAGUGUUUAUAGCCUUUGGCUUCUGCAAUCGGAGAGAUUGAGGUCUGCAGCGUAGAUCCUUCGGGGUUAGAUACAUCUGUGCUAAGCUAUAGUUCUUUAUAGACAACUUGUUGACUAUAAUCAAUCCUGUAACUUACUCGCUUAUGCUAUUUUACCUACGCUUAGGAUGUUGAGCGCAUGUCUCUCUCU